AUAAUGAGACUUGUGCAUGGUCACAAGGAAAUAAGACCUUUAUACCUUGACCUAUACAAUCCAGGCCAUAAUAAUGUAGACAAUAUAGGCUCAUAUGUGGACAAUAUAUAGGCUCAGAUUUAAUGCUAUAAUUCACUCUCCCAAAACAAUGUUGAAAUCGUUUUCGCAUCGGCAACUCUAUCUAAUAGUAUAUCAUAUUGGGCUGCAUCAUUGAGAAGGGGAUAUGGGGGGUUUGACAGAUAUUCAUGCAAUAUUUUCAAAUGUAUCUUAUAAAUUGCUACAUAUACAAUUUUGUACUGUCCACAAAGUUUUUGGCCAUGAUUUGGUAGACCAUGUGAUGAGACUUAAAGUCACAGUCAUCUUGGUGUAAGACCACAUCCAGUUAUUCAAGGGCAAGUUAAGGGGAAAGAGAGGCCAUUGAUGAUAAAUUUCUAUUCAGGCAAUGUAAUUUAUCCUUUCCCACCGAUAACCAAAAACUCUAAGAACCUCUUCUACCAUGUCACCAACACCACAGUAGAUUUGUGGUGUCACAUCAAUAUUGCCCCCAUUUAAUAGCUUAAUUUAUGCAUAGCGGAUGCACUAUAGUGUUAGCUUUCAGAUCAGUGACAUGCCGUGGAAUUAUAAGUUGACAUAAGGGGAUCCAAGGUACCUACGAUUUUAACGUCCAAAUCCAAGAAGACGACGCGAAAGCCUAACCAUUUACUGAUGUAACUGAGCUACAGAGAUCAGUUGUCGAGCUUUAAGGGAAGCCUCACAUAUCGAUUUUUUCCACGAGAAACGUCAUAUGUUCGUUUGGGGGUGGGGGGGUUGGCAGCUGUGACGUUUCUCUGUAAACAUCAUGGAAAAAUUCGAUAGUUUUUAUCUUUGCAGAAUAUAAAAAAGAAAAUAAUUUGAUACAAACAGCGGUCUAUACAUUCGUAAUACCAUACCUGUUCUAUACCUAUGCAUUUAUAUUAUUACGGCUUCCUUGCAUUGUAAACACUCAAAUUUCAAGAAAGGCGCGCUAAAAUUAUCAAUAUUUCAAUUUCAUGCAAAAAAGUUGUUUUGAGAAACGUUGGAAAUUUUGAAGUUCAUAUUUAUAAUAAGAAAAGAGUAUGUCAUAUUCCUCGCUAAUUAAAGCAUCGCCAAUAGCCGACCGAAAAAAAUGUAUUAUAGAAAAUUACCUUAUUCUUGUGUACUAUAUAAGAACAAAAUAUCGAUAAAAUGUGUGACGUUUCUAAGGGGGGGGGGAUCUCCAGAGAAACGAACAUAUGACGUUUCUCAUGGACAAAAUCGAUAUGUGAGGCUUCCCUAACCACAAGUUCAUCAAUAUCAUGUUAUAGGUUAUGGCCUAUGGGUAAAUAUCAAGAUUUUGUUGCGCCUUGCGGGGAUCUCACUCGAUUGAAUAAUAGUUGAAGGUUGUGGUAGAUGGAAAUCAUCGAGUGGAAAUUUAUAUACAUUUAUAUUAGACCUGACCAGGAACAGUUGUGAAAAAUUUCCACUCGAUAAUUUCCACUAUACAAGACCCCUCAACUAUUAUUAUUCAAUCGAGUGAGAUACUAACAAAAUCUCGAUAUUUACCUACAAUUCACCUAACAUGAUAUAUACAGCUAUUAGCCUAUUUCAAUUAAGGUUGUCCCCCAAGCAAAGCAGAAAAGUCGAAUACGAGCGCGAAAGGCUGCUGGGAAUCGCUAAUAUAUUCUUUCAUUUAUUAGCGAUUCCCAGCAGCCUUUCGCGCUCGUAUUCGACUUUUCCGCUUUGCUCGUGGACAACCUUAAUUGAAAUAGCUGUCUGCAUGAUAGAGCUAUCCAGUAUAAAUAAAGUUAGUUUAAUUUGUUUCCUCCUGUACUAACAAUGCAUCAACAAGGGAUGUCACUUACUCUAUGGAGAACAGUUUAGAACUGACAGAGCUGUACAGUAUAAAUAUAUAUAGUUCAGUAAUUGAUGUUUCCUCCUUAGUAACACUAAGAACUAAGGGACACACUGGAUUUCUAGGGAGAAGAGUUCGAACGUCCUCCUUCCCUGACUCAAGAUCCACGUUCUAAAUGGGUUUGUUUUAAAAGUUCAGUGCAUGCCGCCAGUGGGCGAAACCUUGACCCCUUGGCAGUGAAUAGCUCUUUUUGAGUUAGCGACCAUUGAAAUAAUUAUUGUUCUAAAAGCUAACCUUUGUCUAAUGCAACAAAAUCAAUCUUUGAUCCAAAGAAAAUUCUUUUCGACAAAAAACUGCUUUCAAAAAAUAGUUAAAAUAU
Molecule: long non-coding RNA, 2228 nt
Filed under: Paramuricea clavata
Lineage: Eukaryota; Metazoa; Cnidaria; Anthozoa; Malacalcyonacea; Plexauridae
Source: RNAcentral